AAGGAUCAUUAGUGAAUUUAGAGCGUAACUUCGGUUAGCUCAACCUUCAUUUUCCAACUCUGUGCACUAUUGGCGGACUGGGAGCAAGUAAUUGCUAUUCAGUCUGCGGCUCACUAUUAAACAUUAGUUAAAGUAUGUAUAUAAAAACAAAACAAAAAAAACUUUCAACAACGGAUCUCUUGGCUCUCGCAUCGAUGAAGAACGCAGCGAAAUGUGAUAAGUAAUGUGAAUUGCAGAAUUCAGUGAAUCAUCGAAUCUUUGAACGCACCUUGCGCUCUCUGGUAUUCCGGAGAGCAUGUCUGUUUGAGUGUCAUGAACUCUUCAACCUACCGAUUUCUAGUAAAUCGGAUUAGUGUUUGGAUUUUGAACGCUUGCUGGCCUUUAUUGGCGAAGCUCGUUCGUAAAUGAUUAGCAUCUCAUAUUCGAAAAUCGGAUUGACUCAGUGUAAUAGACUAUUCGCUGAGGACGCUCUUUCGGGAGUGGCCGAGUUUUGUAAAGUAGAAGCUUCUAAUUCUAUUAGUCAACUUUAGAUUAGACCUCAGAUCAGGCAGGAUUACCCGCUGAACUUAAGCAUAUCAAUAAGCGGAGGAAAAGAAACUAACAAGGAUUCCCCUAGUAACGGCGAGUGAAGCGGGAAGAGCUCAAAUUUGUAAUCUGGCACUUUCAGUGUCCGAGUUGUAAUCUCGAGAAGUGUUUUCCGCGCCGGACUGCAUACAAGUCUGUUGGAAUACAGCGUCAUAGUGGUGAGAACCCCGUAACUGAUGCAGAUGCCCGGUGCUUUGUGAUACACUUUCGAAGAGUCGAGUUGUUUGGGAAUGCAGCUCAAAUUGGGUGGUAAAUUCCAUCUAAAGCUAAAUAUUGGCGAGAGACCGAUAGCGAACAAGUACCGUGAGGGAAAGAUGAAAAGCACUUUGGAAAGAGAGUUAACAGUACGUGAAAUUGUUGGAAGGGAAACGAUUGAAGUCAGACUUGUUAUCUGGAGUUCAGCCUUUCGGUGUACUCUCCAGUUUACAGGCCAGCAUCAGUUUUCGGGGCGGGAAAAUCGUAAUUUGAAGGUAGCAGCCUAGCUGUGUUAUAGCUUUUUACUGGAUUCCGCUUUGGGGACUGAGGAACGCAGUGUGCUUUUAGCAAUACCCUCGGGUAUUUCACACUUAGGAUGCUGGUGGAAUGGCUUUAAACGACC
RNAcentral lists this ribosomal RNA (1183 nucleotides) under uncultured Rhodotorula. RNAcentral describes it as "eukaryotic LSU rRNA". The stretch from base 534 to 1183 matches the Rfam family "Eukaryotic large subunit ribosomal RNA", at positions 1 to 649 of the family's 3401-position model. The record is from RNAcentral. Lineage: Eukaryota; Fungi; Basidiomycota.